GGCAUUGGGGCGUGCCUACCAUGCAAGUCGAACGGAUCCAUACUGAAACCUAGUGAUGUAUGGGUUAGUGGCGGACGGGUGAGUAACGCGUGGAUAACCUGCCGUAUACAGGGGGAUAACACUUAGAAAUAGGUGCUAAUACCGCAUAAGCGCACGGUUCCGCAUGGAACAGUGUGAAAAACUCCGGUGGUAUACGAUGGAUCCGCGUCUGAUUAGCCAGUUGGUGGGGUAACGGCCCACCAAAGCGACGAUCAGUAGCCGGCCUGAGAGGGUGAACGGCCACAUUGGGACUGAGACACGGCCCAAACUCCUACGGGAGGCAGCAGUGGGGAAUAUUGCACAAUGGGGGAAACCCUGAUGCAGCGACGCCGCGUGAGUGAAGAAGGGUUUCGGCUCGUAAAGCUCUGUUGGUAGUGAAGAAAGAUAGAGGUAGUAACUGGCCUUUAUUUGACGGUAAUUACUUAGAAAGUCACGGCUAACUACGUGCCAGCAGCCGCGGUAAUACGUAGGUGGCAAGCGUUGUCCGGAUUUAUUGGGCGUAAAGCGAGUGCAGGCGGUUCAAUAAGUCUGAUGUGAAAGCCUUCGGCUCAACCGGAGAAUUGCAUCAGAAACUGUUGAACUUGAGUGCAGAAGAGGAGAGUGGAACUCCAUGUGUAGCGGUGGAAUGCGUAGAUAUAUGGAAGAACACCAGUGGCGAAGGCGGCUCUCUGGACUGCAACUGACGCUGAGGCUCGAAAGCAUGGGUAGCGAACAGGAUUAGAUACCCUGGUAGUCCAUGCCGUANACGAUGAGUGCUAAGU
This 800-nucleotide ribosomal RNA is filed under the name uncultured bacterium. RNAcentral's name for it is "bacterial SSU rRNA". It matches the Rfam family "Bacterial small subunit ribosomal RNA", at positions 32 to 821 of the family's 1533-position model. The record is from RNAcentral.